This 73-nucleotide transfer RNA is filed under the name Spinacia oleracea (spinach). It matches the Rfam family "tRNA". From Rfam's summary of the family: Transfer RNA (tRNA) molecules are approximately 80 nucleotides in length. Their secondary structure includes four short double-helical elements and three loops (D, anti-codon, and T loops). Lineage: Eukaryota; Viridiplantae; Streptophyta; Magnoliopsida; Caryophyllales; Amaranthaceae. The record is from Rfam by way of RNAcentral.
GCGUAUGUAGCUCAAUGGAUAGAGCGUUUGUUUCCUAAGCAGAAGGUCAUAGGUUCGACCCUUACCUAACGUG